CAGGCUUGACAUAUAGAGGACGGCAUUAGAGAUAGUGCUUCCGCAAGGCCUCUAUAC
This 57-nucleotide ribosomal RNA is filed under the name uncultured organism. RNAcentral describes it as "partial 16S ribosomal RNA". The record is from RNAcentral.